Molecule: ribosomal RNA, 484 nt
Filed under: uncultured bacterium
Lineage: Bacteria
Description: partial 16S ribosomal RNA
Rfam family: Bacterial small subunit ribosomal RNA
Source: RNAcentral
AUUGAACGCUGGCGGCAGGCCUAACACAUGCAAGUCGAGCGGAUGAAGGGAGCUUGCUCCUGGAUUCAGCGGCGGACGGGUGAGUAAUGCCUAGGAAUCUGCCUGGUAGUUGGGGAUAACGUCCGGAAACGGGCGCUAAUACCGCAUACGUCCUGAGGGAGAAAGUGGGGGAUCUUCGGACCUCACGCUAUCAGAUGAGCCUAGGUCGGAUUAGCUAGUUGGUUAGGUAAAGGCCUACCAAGGCGACGAUCCGUAACUGGUCUGAGAGGAUGAUCAGUCACACUGGAACUGAGACACGGUCCAGACUCCUACGGGAGGCAGCAGUGGGGAAUAUUGGACAAUGGGCGAAAGCCUGAUCCAGCCAUGCCGCGUGUGUGAAGAAGGUCUUCGGAUUGUAAAGCACUUUAAGUUGGGAGGAAGGACAGUAAGUUAAUACCUUGCUGUUUUGACGUUACCAACAGAAUAAGCACCGGCUAACUUCGUG